GGAAACUCGGCUUAACCGAAGAAGUGCAUCGGAAACCGGGCGACUUGAGUGCAGAAGAGGACAGUGGAACUCCAUGUGUAGCGGUGGAAUGCGUAGAUAUAUGGAAGAACACCAGUGGCGAAGGCGGCUGUCUGGUCUGCAACUGACGCUGAGGCUCACAAAGCAUGGGUAGCGAACAGGAUUAGAUACCCUGGUAGUCCAUGCCGUAAACGAUGAGUGCUAGGUGUUGGAGGGUUUCCGCCCUUCAGUGCCUGUUCUAACGCAUUAAUGCACUCCGCCUGGGGAGUACGACCGCAAGGUUGAAACUCAAAGGAAUUGACGGGGGCCCGCACAAGCGGUGAAGCAUGUGGUUUAAUUCGAAGCUACGCGAAGAACCUUACCAGGUCUUGACAUCUUGCGCUAACCUUAGAGAUAAGGCGUUCCCUUCGGGGACGUUAAUGACAGGUGGUGCAUGGUCGUCGUCAGCUCGUGUCGUGAGAUGUUGGAACUAAGUCCCGCAACGAGCGCAACCCUUGUUACUAGUUGCCAGCAUUAAGUUGGGGACUCUAGUGAGACUGCCGGUGACAAACCGGAGGAAGGUGGGGACGACGUCA
RNAcentral lists this ribosomal RNA (593 nucleotides) under Limosilactobacillus reuteri. RNAcentral describes it as "bacterial SSU rRNA". It matches the Rfam family "Bacterial small subunit ribosomal RNA", at positions 596 to 1187 of the family's 1533-position model. Lineage: Bacteria; Bacillati; Bacillota; Bacilli; Lactobacillales; Lactobacillaceae. The record is from RNAcentral.